ACAGCAGUAGCCACGGUAAUACGGAGGGCGCGAGCGUUACCCGGAUUUACUGGGCGUAAAGGGCGUGUAGGCGGCCUGGGGCGUCCCAUGUGAAAGGCCACGGCUCAACCGUGGAGGAGCGUGGGAUACGCUCAGGCUAGAGGGUGGGAGAGGGUGGUGGAAUUCCCGGAGUAGCGGUGAAAUGCGCAGAUACCGGGAGGAACGCCGAUGGCGAAGGCAGCCACCUGGUCCACUUCUGACGCUGAGGCGCGAAAGCGUGGGGAGCAAACCGGAUUAGAUACCCCGGUAGUCCCUGUCUCUUAUAC
RNAcentral lists this ribosomal RNA (305 nucleotides) under uncultured bacterium. RNAcentral describes it as "partial 16S ribosomal RNA". It matches the Rfam family "Bacterial small subunit ribosomal RNA", at positions 505 to 807 of the family's 1533-position model. The record is from RNAcentral.